RNAcentral lists this ribosomal RNA (1162 nucleotides) under Maribacter sp. Its description in RNAcentral is "bacterial SSU rRNA". It matches the Rfam family "Bacterial small subunit ribosomal RNA", at positions 56 to 1213 of the family's 1533-position model. Lineage: Bacteria; Pseudomonadati; Bacteroidota; Flavobacteriia; Flavobacteriales; Flavobacteriaceae. The record is from RNAcentral.
UGCAAGUCGAGGGGUAACAUUUAGUGCUUGCACAAGAUGACGACCGGCGCACGGGUGCGCACCGCGUAUGGAACCUACCUUGUACAGGGGAAUAGCCCAGGGAAACUUGGAUUAAUGCCCCGUAGUACCGUGACCCGGCAUCGGGAUACGGUUAAAGCCUUCGGGCGGUAUAAGAUGGCCAUGCGUCCCAUUAGCUUGUUGGUAAGGUAACGGCUUACCAAGGCUACGAUGGGUAGGGGCCCUGAGAGGGGGAUCCCCCACACUGGUACUGAGACACGGACCAGACUCCUACGGGAGGCAGCAGUGAGGAAUAUUGGACAAUGGAGGAGACUCUGAUCCAGCCAUGCCGCGUGCAGGAAGAAUGCCCUAUGGGUAGUAAACUGCUUUUAUACGGGAAGAAAAAAGAGUACGUGUACUCUACUGACGGUACCGUAAGAAUAAGGACCGGCUAACUCCGUGCCAGCAGCCGCGGUAAUACGGAGGGUCCGAGCGUUAUCCGGAAUUAUUGGGUUUAAAGGGUCCGUAGGCGGGCCGAUAAGUCAGGGGUGAAAGUUUGCAGCUCAACUGUAAAAUUGCCUUUGAUACUGUUGGUCUUGAGUUAUAGUGAAGUUGCCGGAAUAUGUAGUGUAGCGGUGAAAUGCAUAGAUAUUACAUAGAACACCGAUUGCGAAGGCAGGUGACUAACUAUAUACUGACGCUGAUGGACGAAAGCGUGGGGAGCGAACAGGAUUAGAUACCCUGGUAGUCCACGCCGUAAACGAUGGAUACUAGCUGUCCGAGGCCUUGAGUCUUGGGCGGCCAAGCGAAAGUGAUAAGUAUCCCACCUGGGGAGUACGUUCGCAAGAAUGAAACUCAAAGGAAUUGACGGGGGCCCGCACAAGCGGUGGAGCAUGUGGUUUAAUUCGAUGAUACGCGAGGAACCUUACCAGGGCUUAAAUGCAUAUUGACAGGUCUAGAGAUAGAUUUUCCUUCGGGCAAUUUGCAAGGUGCUGCAUGGUUGUCGUCAGCUCGUGCCGUGAGGUGUCAGGUUAAGUCCUAUAACGAGCGCAACCCCUACCGUUAGUUGCCAGCAUGUCAUGAUGGGGACUCUAACGGGACUGCCGGUGCAAACCGUGAGGAAAGUGGGGAUGACGUCAAAUCAUCACGGCCCUUACGUCCUGGG